This 329-nucleotide ribosomal RNA is filed under the name uncultured eukaryote. RNAcentral describes it as "partial 18S ribosomal RNA". It matches the Rfam family "Eukaryotic small subunit ribosomal RNA", at positions 1470 to 1796 of the family's 1831-position model. The record is from RNAcentral.
CCCUUAGAUGUUCUGGGCCGCACGCGCGCUACACUGACGAUGGCAACGAGUUUUUCCUUCGCCGAAAGGUGUGGGUAAUCUUUUGAAACAUCGUCGUGCUGGGGAUAGAUCAUUGCAAUUUUUGAUCUUGAACGAGGAAUUCCUAGUAAGCGCGAGUCAUCAGCUCGCGUUGAUUACGUCCCUGCCCUUUGUACACACCGCCCGUCGCUACUACCGAUUGAAUGGAUUAGUGAGGACUCCUGAUUGGCGCCGCCGCCCCGGCAACGGAGCAGCGGACUGCCGAAAAGUUGUUCAAACUUGAUCAUUUAGAGGAAGUAAAAGUCGUAACA